RNAcentral lists this ribosomal RNA (253 nucleotides) under uncultured bacterium. RNAcentral describes it as "partial 16S ribosomal RNA". It matches the Rfam family "Bacterial small subunit ribosomal RNA", at positions 524 to 776 of the family's 1533-position model. The record is from RNAcentral.
UACGGGGGGGGCAAGCGUUGUUCGGAAUUACUGGGCGUAAAGGGCUCGUAGGCGGCCAAUUAAGUCGGACGUGAAAUCCCUCGGCUUAACCGGGGAACUGCGUCUGAUACUGGAUGGCUGGAGUAUGGGAGAGGGAUGCGGAAUUCCAGGUGUAGCGGUGAAAUGCGUAGAUAUCUGGAGGAACACCGGUGGCGAAGGCGGCAUCCUGGACCAUUACUGACGCUGAGGAGCGAAAGCCAGGGGAGCAAACGGG